UGGGGAAUUUUGGACAAUGGGCGCAAGCCUGAUCCAGCCAUUCCGCGUGCAGGACGAAGGUCUUCGGGUUGUAAACUGCUUUUGUAUGGAACGAAAAGCUCUUCCCUAAUACAGAGGAGUCAUGACGGUACCGUAAGAAUAAGCACCGGCUAACUACGUGCCAGCAGCCGCGGUAAUACGUAGGGUGCAAGCGUUAAUCGGAAUUACUGGGCGUAAAGCGCGCGCAGGCGGUUUUGUAAGACGGAGGUGAAAUCCCCGGGCUCAACCUGGGAACUGCAUUCGUGACUGCAGAGCUGGAGUGCGGCAGAGGGGGAUGGAAUUCCGCGUGUAGCAGUGAAAUGCGUAGAUAUGCGGAGGAACACCGAUGGCGAAGGCCAUCCCCUGGGCCUACACUGACGCUCAUGCACGAAAGCGUGGGGAGCAAACA
RNAcentral lists this ribosomal RNA (427 nucleotides) under uncultured bacterium. RNAcentral's name for it is "bacterial SSU rRNA". It matches the Rfam family "Bacterial small subunit ribosomal RNA", at positions 355 to 774 of the family's 1533-position model. The record is from RNAcentral.